RNAcentral lists this ribosomal RNA (445 nucleotides) under Eurema laeta (spotless grass yellow). Its description in RNAcentral is "partial 16S ribosomal RNA". Lineage: Eukaryota; Metazoa; Arthropoda; Insecta; Lepidoptera; Pieridae. The record is from RNAcentral.
AAUUUAUUUAAAGGGCUGCAGUAUAUUGACUGUACAAAGGUAGCAUAAUCAAUAGUCUUUUAAUUGGAGACUUGUAUGAAUGAUUUGAUGAAAUAUAAACUGUCUCUUUAUUAAAAAUAAAAUUUAAUUUUUUAGUUAAAAAGCUAAAAUAAUUAUAAAAGACGAGAAGACCCUAUAGAGUUUUAUAUUUAUUUUAUUUAGAAAUUAUUUAUAUAAUUUAAAUAUAUAAUAAUUUAAAUAUUUUAUUGGGGUGAUAGAAAAAUUAAAUAAACUUUUUUUAAAUUUUAACAUUAAUUUAUGAAAUUAUGAUCCAUAAUUUAUGAUUAAAAGAAAAAAUUACCUUAGGGAUAACAGCGUAAUUUUUUUUUUUAGUUCAGAUAAAAAAAAGAGUUUGCGACCUCGAUGUUGGAUUAAGAUAAAAUUUAAAUGCAAAAGUUUAAAAUUU